RNAcentral lists this small RNA (73 nucleotides) under Arabidopsis thaliana (thale cress). Its description in RNAcentral is "ATSL077830". The record is from RNAcentral. Lineage: Eukaryota; Viridiplantae; Streptophyta; Magnoliopsida; Brassicales; Brassicaceae.
GAGAAGGAAAGAGAGAUUCUGAUAAGAUAGUUAGUCAAAGAGGUUUACCGAAGAAAAAAUAGAGAGACAAAAA